Molecule: ribosomal RNA, 1143 nt
Filed under: Gymnogobius isaza
Lineage: Eukaryota; Metazoa; Chordata; Actinopteri; Gobiiformes; Gobiidae
Description: partial 16S ribosomal RNA
Rfam family: Bacterial large subunit ribosomal RNA
Source: RNAcentral
GCAAAAGAGUGGGAAGAUCUUUGAGUAGAGGUGACAGACCUACCGAGCUCAGUUAUAGCUGGUUGCCUACAAAAGGAAUAGAAGUUCAGCCUUUUCACUUCUUCUCUCAAAACUGCACAUACUAAUAAGUGACACAAAGAAGUUAAAAGAGUUAUUCAAGGGGGGAACAGCCCCCUUGAAAAAAGAUACAACUUUAUUUAGAAGGCUAAAGAUUAAAAUAACCCAGGCAAAUAUACCUUGGUGGGCCUAAAAGCAGCCAUCCAUAUAGAAAGCGUUAAAGCUCAAGUACUUUGCCCCUCCCUAAUUUCAAUAAUUCAAUCUUAAGCCCCUUAAUUAAUAGUAGGCCUUUUCAUGCACCCAUGAAAGAGAUACUGCUGAGAUGAGUAAUAAGAGGACCGCUCCUCUCCCUAACACUUGUAUAAUUCAGAACGAACCCCCACUGAAAAUUAACGCCCCCAACUAGAAGAGGGGCCUGGGAAAGCCCAAAAUAAACUAGAAGCUCACCCAACAAAUAGCGUUAACCCUACACAGGUGUGUUUUAAGGAAAGACUAAAAGAAAAAGAAGGAACUCGGCAAACACUGGCCUCGCCUGUUUACCAAAAACAUCGCCUCUUGCAACAAACGUAUAAGAGGUCCCGCCUGCCCUGUGACUUACUAGUUUAACGGCCGCGGUAUUUUGACCGUGCGAAGGUAGCGUAAUCACUUGUCUUUUAAAUGGAGACCUGUAUGAAUGGCACAACGAGGGCUAAGCUGUCUCCUUUUUCCAGUCAAUGAAAUUGAUUUUCCCGUGCAGAAGCGGGAAUAUAACCAUAAGACGAGAAGACCCUAUGGAGCUUAAGACACAAGGCAGCCCAUGUAAAACACCUGGCUCAACAGAAUUAACCAAGUGGCCCCUGCCCUUUUGUCUUUGGUUGGGGCGACCGCGGGGGAACAAAAAUCCCCCACGUGGAAUGGGGCCAACCCCCCUAAAGCCAGAGCCACAGCUCUAGCUAGCAGAACAUCUGACCUACAAGAUCCGGCAAAGCCGAUCAACGGACCGAGUUACCCUAGGGAUAACAGCGCAAUCCCCUUUUAGAGCCCAUAUCGACAAGGGGGUUUACGACCUCGAUGUUGGAUCAGGACAUCCUAAUGGUGCAGCCGCUA